RNAcentral lists this ribosomal RNA (548 nucleotides) under uncultured bacterium. RNAcentral describes it as "bacterial SSU rRNA". It matches the Rfam family "Bacterial small subunit ribosomal RNA", at positions 355 to 895 of the family's 1533-position model. The record is from RNAcentral.
UAGGGAAUCUUCGGCAAUGGACGGAAGUCUGACCGAGCAACGCCGCGUGAGUGAAGAAGGUUUUCGGAUCGUAAAGCUCUGUUGUAAGAGAAGAACGAGUGUGAGAGUGGAAAGUUCACACUGUGACGGUAUCUUACCAGAAAGGGACGGCUAACUACGUGCCAGCAGCCGCGGUAAUACGUAGGUCCCGAGCGUUAUCCGGAUUUAUUGGGCGUAAAGCGAGCGCAGGCGGUUAGAUAAGUCUGAAGUUAAAGGCUGUGGCUUAACCAUAGUACGCUUUGGAAACUGUUUAACUUGAGUGCAAGAGGGGAGAGUGGAAUUCCAUGUGUAGCGGUGAAAUGCGUAGAUAUAUGGAGGAACACCGGUGGCGAAAGCGGCUCUCUGGCUUGUAACUGACGCUGAGGCUCGAAAGCGUGGGGAGCAAACAGGAUUAGAUACCCUGGUAGUCCACGCCGUAACGAUGAGUGCUAGGUGUUAGACCCUUUCCGGGGUUUAGUGCCGUAGCUNACGCAUUAAGCACUCCGCCUGGGGAGUACGACCGCAAGGUU